Molecule: long non-coding RNA, 4828 nt
Organism: Brassica rapa (field mustard)
Lineage: Eukaryota; Viridiplantae; Streptophyta; Magnoliopsida; Brassicales; Brassicaceae
Source: RefSeq, a predicted model, not a curated record
AGUAGAUCACCUAUCAAAUUAAUCAUCCAGUUACUAUGCUACUUGUCAUCAGGAGCUUAUUGGAUUAGAAGUUUUACAAUUUUUUGUAACAAACGAAGCACUGAUUAUUUCUAGGAGAAGCUCUUGUAAUAGAUGUACUCAUCAUUUUCCUGAGUUGUCCAGUGUUCCUUUGCGAGGCAAGUAAGGACAGUUCAUAAGUUACUUCACCCAGUGAACCCCAGGCUUAGGAAGCUGAGAAUCGAAGAACCCAGCUCUAGAUUCCAAGAGACUUCCGUGUUUCAGCUUCAAAUGGGUGUUUCUCAACGUGCUGGCAAAGAACUCGUGACGCAUAGAUAGAAAAAGAAGAAUGUAACUUCUGUUCUGUAUAUUAUAUUGUCAUGAGUUUGUUCUUCAUCAAGCAUGGAUUGCUCUUCUUCCUAAGAGUGAUCUUCCUCGUCCAUGGUACCUGAUAUGAAACACACAAAGUAGUUAAGUGCUUAUAAUUAAGGCGCAGUGGUGGAAUUUUUAUUCAAACAAAAUAUCAAAAUGCUUUGGACCUACUUUCCAAAAACUAUGAGGCAAAAAAUAUUUUAUUUUUGCUUUUGAAUGCGACAAUGAUAUGAACGAAAUAUACCAAAAUGCUAUAGAAAUAUAAAAUCAACUAGAUGAAGACAUGCGCCUUGUAAGGGAUGAAAACGUGGAAUGAAUAGUAUAUACGCAAAUUAAUUUUACGUAUUAUUAUUUAUUUUGUGUUUAUUACGCAUUAUAAAAUAAUAAAAAUAUUAAAUAACUGAGAAGCGAGUAAAUAUUAUGUGUAUAAUUAAAUUAGAGUAAUCACAUAAAUGAAAAAAAAAAAUUUGUUCACUUACAAUAUUUUUAUUUGUAAAUAAAUAAAAACAAUUAUUUUAUUUUUUAUAUGUUAUAUAAUCAAAUUUAAAUGAUAUUGACAUAGAUAUAUAGUAUUUUAAUAUGGAUAUUUAUUAAUUGAGGCUUCAUACUCAUAUAAUUUUAUUAACAUUUUUAUAUUUUUGUAGCAAAAAAAUAAACCAUUAAUCACAAGAUUUCUAGUGUGAGAUUUUUAAUAAUUUUAAUAAUUUAUAAAUGUUUUUAAAAAUUCAAUAAAAAAUUUCAAAAUAAAUAUUAAGGUAUCAGUACUUUUGUAAUGGAAAUUUUGAAUAUGGUACACAGUUUAAUUUUCAUAAUAUUAAUAUAUAUACAUUAUAUAUAUAUAUAUAUUUAAUAUGAAUAUCUAUUAAAUAAAACUUAUUAUUCAUAUGAGUUUUUGAUCAUUUGUAUCUUGUUAUAACCAAACAUUAAACUAUUGAUCACACAUUUUUUAAGUGAGACUUUUGACAAUAUUAGUAAUUUAUAGUCAUUUUGAAAAUUUUAAAUAUAACAUAUAAGAAAAAAAUCUGAAUUUUUGAUUAUAUGAUUAAUGUGAUUGUUUAGUUUCUUUUAAGAAUAUCAAAUUAAACAAAAAUGAUGAAGUAUACAAAAAUUGUUAUCAAAUCUUUAUUAUUCAAAAUCAUUAAUUGUCAUAUAUAUGUUAAUCAUAUUAGGUAAUUCUGUAAUUUUUAUUUAAGAAAAAAAGAAGAAUAUUUUUUUUGUAUACUACUAAUCAAUUUUAUAUUUAGUUUAAUAAAAAGUAUAAUAUAUGUUUAGAUGAACCAACUAAUUUUCUUAGGAUUCUAACAAUCAUCCUGGAGAUGACACGUGGUUACAAAAUAAUGUUGUAAUGCUCUUCAAUUAAUAUAUAAAAGAUAUUUAACAAAAAUAACAAGUAACAAAUGCAAUUAAUUGUUUUUGAAUUUUUUUUAAUGCACAAAUGAAAAGAAAGGAAACUAAGCAAUGAACUAAUGCAAAAUUAAAAUAUGGUAAGUGGAACUGGGAGAACUGAAUGCAAACAACUCGAGUAAUAUGUCAAAGAAAUUUUGUGGAUCAAACUAUCCAAAAACUUUCUUUUUGUUUUUUUUCUUUAAUAAGAACACAAAAAUGGCAGAAAUUGAAACUAGAAACAAAUAACAAUUUUUAUGGAUUUUUGGUUUUAUAAAUGAAAACUAACAAGGAAUGAAACAAGAACAGAUAUAGAGAUGGAUUGAUAUCACCUGAUAUAGGAGCUUUAAGCUCUGAUACCCAAAUGUUACAUGCACGGGAGCUGAGUCGAUAAGAUCGAUGGGCGAUGGGUCGAUCUUAUCGAUGGAGAUGAAGAUCGGAUGGAAAGAUGGUGAAGAUGGCCGACUAGCUGUACUUUCAAGUCCAAAAUAUCCUGAAAAUAUAGGAAGAACAAUGAGUCUAUAAAUUAUGAAAACAAGAACAAAAACUAAAGAUAGGAUGUAAUGGUUUGAUGAAGUGAAGAUAGAUGAUGGAUGGAUGGAUGGAAGAUGAUGUUGGAUAGAUAAUGAUUGACUCUCUCAAUCUGGGAUAACAAUGGCUGUUGAAUCACACAAACAACCUAUGCUAACAAAUCAAUAGAACACAAGAAUCGUUCAAAAUAUUCUAAAGACAGAUUUCUAUUCAAAAACUCUCUUUGAUAAAAACAAGCAAACUGAUUAUUAUUUCUUAAAGAUUGGAAGGUGAUCUUUACAGUGUCAAUCUAAGAGCUAAUAUAAUGCUCUGGAAUCUAAGCCUAAUGUUCAUAAGAAGAAAAGAAGGAAACAAAUCAAGCAAAGUAACAAAAUCAGAAACUAGCCGUUGGAGCCUUUUAUGGGUUUUUGGCUCCAAGUGAGAAACUUGAUUCUUUUUGAAGCUGGAUGUUUUUAGGGUAUAAUAGAGCUUCCUUUAGAUAUUCCUGAUGGCUUUAUAAGUUCUGAUGUCGUCCAUAACUUGAUAGGAAAAGAGCUGUUGGACAUUAAUGUUGAUUGGCUCCAUAUAAGGCAAGUUGGAGUGCAAAAAGAUUUUCCUAAUCCCCUGGAUGCUGGAACAUGGUAGGACGCUCCUGGCUUCCAUGAAUAGGUUUGGACCGAACCAAACUGAAGGAGUAGAAGUCCUUCCUCAGAUAAUGUCGUUUUGGCCAAAUUAAGAAAACCGGAUCUAUUUUCUAGUCUGAUUGGGAUCCGCCUGAUCCAGUGUGUUCUGGUGCAUCUUGUGGCUUCUGGAUAAACUGGAAAUGACUCCAAAAAGUUAUAGCUUUGAUGGCUGAGUCGUGGAUGACUUAUGGCUCCAAAUGUGAAUGCAUCCCGAUAAGGAAAUUGUUGUUAAUGAAGAUCCUCCUGAUCAUGUGGUUGCUGGUGCAUGAAACUGGCUUUUAUGAAUCUUAUGGAUCAUUGGAUGAGCCUCCUGAAUGCCUAAAUUUAUCUCCUGGCCACCAAUGUUUUGUUUGAAGCUGAUUGAACCGGUUAACUUCCAAUUAAGGCAAGUGUAGAACUGGUUUGGCCGGUUUUGGAGAUUGGGCCAUAACUUUAUAUAUCCGUGGCCAUUUCUCCUCAUUAUGUGCUUGUUGGAAAGAUAAGAGAUCCAUAUUUAAGUCCAUGAGUUUUUUGGGUUGGAAUGUUUCUUCAUUGGCCUUGAAACAACUUCUAAACUCAGAUACUUGCAGAUAGACGGGUUAGAAAACCUCCGGUUUGUAAAAUUUAUACCUUCCUGGUCCGAGUACCUUUGAAGAUUCUUAUAAUUGGUCUUGACUCCUUGUUGAGUUUAGAAUUCAUGAAAAUUGGUUUCAUGGCAAAUUUCCUUCUGGUUGGUGAAAUAUGUCGUCUUUACUGAACACAUAUCCUAGUGGGUCCUUUGGUUGGCUGAAUGGUACAUCUGGUUGUCCUCUGGUUCAGGUGUCUUUUCUAUGCCCACAACAUCAAUGUUGUUAUUUCUCCACAAAAGAUAAUACAUAUUAGCAUAAACACUCGAUAUCAGGAAGAUGUCCGUGCUAGAUGGAGUUGCUGAUAAAGACCAUGCAUAUAAAGCUGGUGAAGAUUGCGUGAGUAACAGUUUCUUCAAGUUCUCCACAUCUUGAAAAAUAAUUAUUGCAUCGCAUAUUGCAACGUGCCAUGUUCCUUGUUAUCGCCACAUGUUAUGUUGUUAUCAGUAUCCAAAUAAGAUGACAUAUCUUCUUAGGUUCCUUUAUUUUCCAAGCAAAGACUUGAAACUUUGUUAUACUUGGGUCCAGGAUCUCUGUCUCUUCAUUUUCUUCCAGUAAGUUACGUGAUAUCCAAUAUCCAGAUUUAAUAGUGUACUGUUCACUCUUUGUAUAAUUCCAGCAUAAGUGUCCGGGCGAUAGGUUGGGAUGAUGGCCAAAAUUCUUGUUAGAGGUAUAUUCUCGUGGUGAACAUAAUUUUCCAGUAGCCCAACAUCCCACUCCUUUGAUUUUCCAUUAAUUAGAUCAUUGACUGUCAUUUUGGAGUGUAUAAUUGAUAUAUGGUGUUUUAUACAUCUUGUAUAUAUGCUUUUAAAUUGGUUUUCAAGUCUUUAUCGAGUCUUCCUAGUCCUUUGGAGUCAUUACAGGUCUGGAGUUGCAUUGGAUGGGAGAUGGACCAGCUGGAACAAAAGAGGCAGACAACAGUGCAAUUCAGUGAUUUUCACGCAGAACAGUCUUGAUGACUGUUCCGGAAAGCGGAGCAACCCGAGUGACUGUUCCGAGUGACUGUUCCAGCGGCAGAGAUUUUUAAGGAAACUACAACCUAUUUCGGGAUUUGCCCUAAUCUCUCUAUUUUUCUCUCCCAGCCGCCUGUGGCUUUGAUAUAUCUUCUUUUUCUAUUUUUCCUGAUCAUACUACGCUAUUCUAGACAGAAGAAAACCAUUGGAGACUUUUGUGCUUUUGGAUUGUAAAGGGAGAAGGCUCCAUCUCUCUCACCAUAGAGAAGAUUAUCCUGAACCCUCUUUCUAUCUCUUUUAUUUACAUGAAGUCUUAUUCAGAAUU